Molecule: long non-coding RNA, 2494 nt
Organism: Poecile atricapillus (Black-capped chickadee)
Lineage: Eukaryota; Metazoa; Chordata; Aves; Passeriformes; Paridae
Exons: 2
Source: RefSeq, a predicted model, not a curated record
CCUGCGGGCAGAGAGAGCGAGAAAGAGGUCUGUGUACAUGGGGGAAGACAAAUAAAAUACUGUCAGUUCUGCACUUACCUGUUAGGAAGUGGUACCAGUUUUUCAAUGUUCUGCUUGACAGCUUUUUCUGCCAGUAGCAUUUUUUUGGUUGUUGUUUUUAAUAACUGUUACAAGGUCAUUGCGGCACAUGCUCAGACAAAACACUGCAUAGCGCUUGGAUGGUGUUUCUUUGUACCUGUUGUCAUUUAUUAGUUUUCAAAGUGUUCUUUCUCUGAUCAUCUGUGUCUUUGGGAAGAAUGCGGUUUUAUUUUGGUUUGUGCUCUUACAUUUCUUCUGUCUUUCCCUUUACUUUGAAAAACAAACAAAAUAAAUAGAACCUAUAGCCAUAUUAGAUCAGGCAAUACCCAGAAGAGAUCAGAUUCUUGUUUGUACUUUACAAAAAAAGAAAAUGUAUGCAUAAUAAUAUAUUUCGUGUUAUUUUUGGUAGAUUUCCUCUUACAGAAGCUAUUUUUAAGUAAAAUGUGAAUGGAUCUUUUUAUGGUAAUUAAGAUAUGUUGGGCUUUCUUAAAAAUCAAAUUCCAGUGGAAUUAAAUGAUGAAUGUAAAUGAGAAAAACCCAAGCCUAGUCAUGAAAGUGUAAGCAGUUUCAGAUUGUAAAUUACGCUUUAAAAUGUGGUAUCUGACCAUUUUGUAUUUAUAUGUAAAUAUAAAUACAUGUUGCUGCAUCACUAAUGGCAUUAAAGAGGGGUGGCUGAAGUGUUGGAUGUCUGGAAGUUGUGCCUGCGUGGAGCGUGUUCCGCAGGGCGCGGCGGUGCUGCCGGAGCAGCAGCGCUGCAGGAACACGUCAGGGAGCGGAGCUGGCUGUUCCCAGGCAGGAGAUGGAGCAGGAGCAGGGCACCAGGCUCCCCAGUGCCAUCCUCUGCUGCGAGUCCUGACACCGUGUGUGACAUCCCAGGAACCGUGCCUUACACGAAUGCUGGGAGGGAGCAGAAGCUGCAGCCUGGCUGUUUCCCCACGGCAGGGAGUGUUCUGGUGGGGCAGCUCUCUCUGUGUCACCUUGUUAACCUCAUCCAAUGCCUGAGCUCUGCUCCCAACAGCAGCACAGAAGCUGUUUGAUUCUUACUCCUCUAGGCUGAGCCACAUUGCCCCACAGGUCACUGUAGCAAUGCCAUUCGGAAAUAGCAGGUUUUUGAAGCCAGGAAGAGGAUGCUUCACUAGCAGGAAGAUGUGAAUGUAGCAGGAAAAGGAGGCAGAAAAUAGAAGAAAGGUUUUUUUUUAUAACUUUGAAACUGCCAGGGCUUCAUCAGGGUAUCUCCAAGUUCUCACCACCAGUACCCCCAAGCAAAGAAAAGGUAUGAAAUACCUGUAAAAAAAAAAAAUUCAUAAAAGGGAUAAUUACUUUAACAAAUUUAUUAUCUCCCUGAAUGAGCUACCAAAUAAAACCUGUGCUUUGGAUCCCUUGCUUCUGAAAUCGCUUACUGUUGGAAUAACUUUGUUGGGAUGGGGAAGUACAAGAUCUUAAACUUACAGCACUGGCUUAAGAACCUGGAGUGCUGUUGUUGGCAGGCCAGCAGUAAACCCAUUGCCAAAACCUUUGCCAUUUUCAGUUCUUUGCCUACUAUAACUCUCCUCAGCCACUGUUUAUUUGCUCUCGGUCCCACAGUCCCCUUCCUGUCCCUUUGCUUGCUGCCCUGCUUUUCCCCUGCUGCCUUGCCUCGCUAUUCUGUACCUGCUGUGCCUCUGUCAAAAGUUGAUCUGAAUUUUGUAUUAAUCCUGCAAAUGUUUGUGGCCUUCAGUGCUCUUUUCCUGCUGUCAGCUUAACAGCUAUAGGGUAUCAGUCCUGGCAUGGGCCAAAAGAAAAUGAGACCCCUGAGCAGUGACUUGUGAUGAGCCUUAUGAAAAGGCUGUGGAAGGAUUCUCGUGCUUCACUGGGGCUUUUUCUCUGGUGCAACUUAAACACAAAUUUCACAAGCCCAGAUCUGUGGAAUUCUCAUCAAAUUUUACCAGAAGAUCUCUUUCAAGAGAGAAGAAAAUAAGCUGUAUUGUACAGUUUAUUUUUCUUUUUCUUCUUGCUUAGAAACAGGAUACUUCAUCAUGCUGAUUAAUAGUUUCUUAAAUUAUGAAUGCUGCUGCGAAAAACUGUGAGCAAACAAUGCGUGCAUUCACUUUUAAAGCCCAACUGCAUUGCUCUGAGAUGUCUGAUUUUUUUCAGCUUCUAUCUGAAUUCCUUGGCAUUGAUCUUUCUUUUUUAAUUCAAACUGCCAAGUGCUUAAGAUACCCCCUUAUAUUCUUCAGACCCUUUUGUUCUGGAGAACUGAGUAUUUGGUAGUGUGUACAGUGAGUGAAAAAUGAGCUGUGUGUGCCCUUGUGCAGCGCAGUGAGGUUUGUCUUUCGGGGGGCGGGAGGGGACGUCUGCAAAACUGUUGUUUUCCUGGGAUGACUAAUUGCUCAUUUUUACACUUUGAAAAGAUGCUUGUUGACUCAAAGGAGAUGCA